GGCCAAGUAGCUCAGUUGGUCAGAGCAUUGUCCUAAUAUGCCAAAAUUGAAGGUUCAAUCCCUGGUCA
Non-coding RNA from Myotis lucifugus (little brown bat), 68 nucleotides. The record is from Rfam. Lineage: Eukaryota; Metazoa; Chordata; Mammalia; Chiroptera; Vespertilionidae.